RNAcentral lists this ribosomal RNA (614 nucleotides) under Enterococcus faecium. RNAcentral describes it as "bacterial SSU rRNA". It matches the Rfam family "Bacterial small subunit ribosomal RNA", at positions 907 to 1520 of the family's 1533-position model. The record is from RNAcentral. Lineage: Bacteria; Bacillati; Bacillota; Bacilli; Lactobacillales; Enterococcaceae.
GAAUUGACGGGGGCCCGCACAAGCGGUGGAGCAUGUGGUUUAAUUCGAAGCAACGCGAAGAACCUUACCAGGUCUUGACAUCCUUUGACCACUCUAGAGAUAGAGCUUCCCCUUCGGGGGGCAAAGUGACAGGUGGUGCAUGGUUGUCGUCAGCUCGUGUCGUGAGAUGUUGGGUUAAGUCCCGCAACGAGCGCAACCCUUAUUGUUAGUUGCCAUCAUUCAGUUGGGCACUCUAGCAAGACUGCCGGUGACAAACCGGAGGAAGGUGGGGAUGACGUCAAAUCAUCAUGCCCCUUAUGACCUGGGCUACACACGUGCUACAAUGGGAAGUACAACGAGUUGCGAAGUCGCGAGGCUAAGCUAAUCUCUUAAAGCUUCUCUCAGUUCGGAUUGCAGGCUGCAACUCGCCUGCAUGAAGCCGGAAUCGCUAGUAAUCGCGGAUCAGCACGCCGCGGUGAAUACGUUCCCGGGCCUUGUACACACCGCCCGUCACACCACGAGAGUUUGUAACACCCGAAGUCGGUGAGGUAACCUUUUUGGAGCCAGCCGCCUAAGGUGGGAUAGAUGAUUGGGGUGAAGUCGUAACAAGGUAGCCGUAUCGGAAGGUGCGGCUG